AACAGGAUUAGAUACCCUGGUAGUCCAUGCCGUAAACGUUGGGCACUAGGUGUGGGGGACAUUCCACGUUUUCCGCGCCGUAGCUAACGCAUUAAGUGCCCCGCCUGGGGAGUACGGCCGCAAGGCUAAAACUCAAAGGAAUUGACGGGGGCCCGCACAAGCGGCGGAGCAUGCGGAUUAAUUCGAUGCAACGCGAAGAACCUUACCAAGGCUUGACAUUCACCGGACCGCCCCAGAGAUGGGGUUUCCCUUCGGGGCUGGUGGACAGGUGGUGCAUGGUUGUCGUCAGCUCGUGUCGUGAGAUGUUGGGUUAAGUCCCGCAACGAGCGCAACCCUCGUUCUAUGUUGCCAGCACGUGAUGGUGGGGACUCAUAGGAGACUGCCGGGGUCAACUCGGAGGAAGGUGGGGAUGACGUCAAAUCAUCAUGCCCCUUAUGUCUUGGGCUUCACGCAUGCUACAAUGGCCGGUACAAAGGGUUGCGAUACUGUGAGGUGGAGCUAGUCCCAAAAAGCCGGUCUCAGUUCGGAUUGAGGUCUGCAACUCGACCUCAUGAAGUCGGAGUCGCUAGUAAUCGCAGAUCAGCAACGCUGCGGUGAAUACGUUCCCGGGCCUUGUACACACCGCCCGUCAAGUCACGAAAGUUGGUAACACCCGAAGCCGGUGGCCUAACCCCUUGUGGGAGGGAGCCGUCGAAGGUGGGACUGGCGAUUGGGACUAAGUCGUAACAAGGUAACC
Molecule: ribosomal RNA, 736 nt
Filed under: uncultured bacterium
Lineage: Bacteria
Description: bacterial SSU rRNA
Rfam family: Bacterial small subunit ribosomal RNA
Source: RNAcentral